CUUCAUUGGAUUUCUAAAAGAUAAACAGACAAUUAGGACAAUAUUUUAAUCAAUUCCUCGUGAUUAAGAAUAUAUAUAGACUACUUACUGUAUAUUCCCUAUUCACACGCGUUACAUUGUUAAUCCGAGUAUGCGCACUGAACGCCUCCAUUGUCUACCAGCAGCAAGGAGUGAGAGCGAGCGCGCGGAUAUGAGAAUGCAGGGGAGCGGCAUACAUUGACCCAAAUCUCCGGGAACCGGAGAACAAGCGGACCCGGACACACGUAUGUCGUUGGAAAGACAGACUGGCAGACAGACAGCAACAGUUGUCAUGGAUAUGGUUAUGAUCAGCUGAACCACUCUUCAAGACAAAAAUAAUAACAUUAAAGGGGGGUAGCCUAGCCUACUGCAGGGAAGCGCGACUGUCGGAACCGUUGUUGCGCUUUGUGCUUGUCAUCAUCCCUGUUGUGAUUUGGAGCAGGCUGUCCUGCAUUCGUUGUGAGGGGAAAACGUUUUGCGUUUUGCUUAUCUUCAUCAAAGGGAGUUGUUUUUCUGUCAUUCAUUUGACAUCAUCCUCCUAUAAAUGAUCGUUUUUCUCUGUUGAGCUGAAUCAAAACAUUCGAGUCGCUCAUGUUCCUGUCAGGGAAAUGGGCUGUUGCGUCUGUUAUACACAGCUGCUUUAGUCAGACUUGACAACCGGGAUUUUUUAAAGCUGCCGUUUUGUCCCUGGCAAGAGGCGAUCAAGUGCACUGCAGACAGGCGUGUCGGGGGCGAUUCCAGUGACGGCUCUCGACUCUCUGCGGGAGCCCCGUUUCAACAGCCCCCACCCAAUUUUAUCGGGCGAUUUGGAUGGGGGGCAAGCAGAGUACGACAGGGCGGCCCCGGGGUGCUUUUCACGGUGUCUCGGCGGAUGACAGCGCAGUGGCACCCUCGGCCCACUUUGGGCACUACCGACCAAGUGGCACUAUGGGGUUACGCAGUCGCUCAGUGAGUUCUGUGGCUGGGAUGGGCAUAGAACAUAGUCCUACGGUGCCCUUUGGUUUUUAUACCCCCAGAGGAACAGACUCGGACAGGGCUGGAGGGGGGUCUGGCACUAACGCCUCCCAUGGUAACGGCUACCAGGAAACGGGCAGCGGGCAUCACACGGAUGGUAUGCUCUAUCUGGGCUCCCGAGGGUCGUUGGCAGACACCUUGCCCCUGCACAUUGCACCCCGGUGGUUUAGCGCCCACAGUGGGUUCAAGUGUCCUGUCUGCUCCAAGUCUGUGGCGUCUAAUGAGAUGGAGGUGCACUUCAUCAUGUGUCUAAGCAAGCCCCGCCUGUCCUACAACGAUGACGUGCUGGCCAGGGAUGCCGGGGAGUGUGUAAUCUGUCUGGAGGAGCUGCAGCAAGGAAACACCAUCGCCAGACUGCCGUGCCUCUGCAUCUACCACAAAAGCUGUAUAGACUCCUGGUUUGAGAUCAAUCGUUCCUGCCCUGAGCAUCCUUCAGACUGACUGACCUCUGUGCUCCUACUCCUACUGUUCAAGGACACUUUAUGUUCCUAUCAUGGAUAUCUGGACACUGAAGUAACCAAAAAACUAAACAAUCAAAACAACCUAUCUAUCAAUUGAUCUAUCAAUCUAUACUUUCACUUCCACAUGCAUAAAAGAGUGCCCCUCCUCCCUGCCACCUCCCGCCUAGCCCUAAAGGCUGCUAACUGCCAGUCCCUAUGUUGGCCCAACUAGGCUGACCAUCCCUCCAGGCCAACUGCCUCACCUGGCUGCUUGGCCCCCAGCCAGCCAGUCACCACGCCACAUGGCCUGGUCCUCUCUGGGCUCCUCCGGGGGUCUGGCCCUUGCUCUGCUCUGCCUUCCAUUUUGCCUCCUGAGUUUGGCCCUGCCUGGCUCCAUAUCAUUAAUCUGGAUCCAGCCAUCUCAUGGCCUUCAUCAGGAAGAGACAGAGGAGGAUAAUGAAGAUAAAGAUGAAGAAUAGGGCUGGAUGAACCCUGUGUGCCAGGGCAGGGUAGACUCCCAGGACGUUGUCUGGUUUUUGCUGCGAUGGGGAAACGCUGACCAGAAUUAGUCAUUUCCCUGUAAGGGCCUUGAGUGUGUUCAUGUGUGUGUAUGUGUGAUGCCUCUUGGUCUAAGCUACUGUCUGUGCCCCACAUGUUUUCUGAUGAAAUAGGUCAGGUCCUCUCUGGUUGUGUUGGCUGAUGUGACUUAAUGUAAUGGACGUAUUAAAGACCUAAAUGACAGUCACAUCGUGGAGCUAUUCCGGGGUUAUAACUUAUUUAUUCACAUUUAACAAGAUUUGUUUUCGCAAAUCUGUCAGAGAACAUACAUUACUCUUCAGAAUGCCUCUAGUGUAUAAAGAAUAACAGAAUGAUUAUUCUGGAAGAAAACAACGAACAUAGCUCAACAAAUGGGUGAAUAUUUUUUCAAUUUCUGUAGGGUGAAAAUGUAGAGAAUAUAGUACCUGUGAGGCCAAUAUAAACAAUUCAUUAGCAAGCAGACAACCACCAAGCUUCAACUGAACAAGGAACACAGGGAAGACAGACUACUAGUCAGUUAUGAUAGAGUAUACUAUACAUAUUCAUGUCUCCUGCUAACUGUAUCCCUGCCCGACUCUGCUAAAGGGCCAUAUACCUUGAUUUUAUUUAAUGUUUUGAGAUGACUUUUUUUCCAAGGAUGUGAAUGGGUGCCUGUUUUGGAGGUACCAACUAAUUGUUUGAUGAUUUUGAUGUGCAAUCUGUGGGAUGAAUACUGAUAAUGAUAUAUACACAGUACCAGUCAAAAGUUUGGACACAGCAACUCAUUCAAGGGUUUUUCUUUAUUUGUACUAUUUUAUACACUGUAGAAUAAUAGUGAAGACGUCAAAACCUACAAAUAACACAUAUGGAAUCAUGCAGUAACCAAACAAGUGUUAAAUAAAUCAAUAUAUGUUUUAUAUUUUAAAUGUAAUGUAAAUGUAUAUUUUAGAUUCUUCAAAAUAGCCACCCAUUGCCUUGAUGACAGCUUUGCACUCCAUCACUCUCCUUCUUGAUCAAAUAGCCCUUACAGGCUGCAGGUGUGUUGGGUCAUUGUCCAGUUGAAAAUUAUUAUUAUUAUAAAAACAAAUGAUAGUCCCACUAAGCGCAAACCAGAUGGGAUGGCUUAUCGCUGCAGAAUGCUGUGUAAACCAUGCUGGUUAAGUGUGCCUUGAAUUCUAAAUAUAUCACGGAUAGUGUCACCAGCAAAGCCCCCUCACACAAUCACACCUCCUCCUCCAUGCUUCACAGUGGGAACCACACCUGCAGAGAUCAUCCGUUCACCUACUCUGCAUCUCACAAGGACACGGCGGUUGGAACCAAAAAUCAAACAUUUGGACUCAUCAAACCAAAGGACAGAUUUCCACUGGUCUAAUGUUCAUUGCUCAUAUUUCUUGGCCCAAGCAAGUCUCUUCUUAUUAUUUGUGUCCUUAAGUAGUGUUUUUUUUGCAGCAAUUUGACAAUGAAGGCCUGAUUCACACAGUCUCCUCUGAACAGUUAAUGUUGAGAUGUGUCUGUUACUUGAACUCUGUGAAGCAUUUGAUGCUUGAUGGUUUUUACACUUGAAGUUCUUGAAAUGUUCCGGAUUGACUGACCUUCAUGACUUAAAGUAAUGAUGGACUGUCGUUUAUCUUUGCUUAUUUGAGCUGUUCUUGCCAUAAUAUGAACUUGGUAUUUUACCAAAUAGGGCUAUCUUCUGUACACCACCCCUACCUUGUCACAACACAACUGAUUGGCUCAAACUCAUUAAGAAGGAAUGAAAUUCCACACCUGUUAAUUGAAAUGCAUUCCAGGUGACUACCUCAUGAAGCUUGGGCUCCAGCCCAGCUGUCUAAGGCAAUUCAUCUCAGUGCAAGAGGCGUCACUACAGUCCCUGGUUCGAUUCUAGGCUGUAUCACAUCUGGCCAUGAUUAGGAGUCCCAUAGGGCGGCGCACAAUUGACCCAGCAUCGUCCGGGUUAGGUCAGGGUAGGCCGUCAUUGUAAAUAAGAAUUUGUUUGUAACUGACUUGCCUAGUUAAAUAAAGGUUAAAAAAAAAUUAAAAACAUGAAGAAAAGCUGGUUGAGAGAAUGCCACGAGCGUGCAAUACUACCAUCAAGGAAAAGGGUGGCUACUUUGAAGAAUCUCAAAUAUAUUUAGAUUUUUUUUCCAUCACUUGUUUGGUUACUACAUGAUUCCAUAUGUGUUAUUUCAUAGUUUUGAUGUCUUCACUAUUAUUCUACAAUGUAGAAAAUUUGUAAAAUAAAGAAAAAAGCUGGAAUGAGUAGGUGUGUCCAAACGUUUGACCGGUA
RNA transcript from Oncorhynchus keta (chum salmon), 4275 nucleotides. It is a transcript of the gene named E3 ubiquitin-protein ligase znrf1-like, with no coding region annotated. The transcript has 6 exons. Lineage: Eukaryota; Metazoa; Chordata; Actinopteri; Salmoniformes; Salmonidae. The record is from RefSeq and is a predicted model, not a curated record.